UGUGGGAGCUGGCUUGCCUGCGAUAGCGGUGGGUCAGUUGGCAGUGAUGUGACUGACAGACCGCCAUCGCAGGCAAGCCAGCUCCCACA
RNAcentral lists this unclassified non-coding RNA (89 nucleotides) under Pseudomonas cedrina. The record is from RNAcentral. Lineage: Bacteria; Pseudomonadati; Pseudomonadota; Gammaproteobacteria; Pseudomonadales; Pseudomonadaceae.